AUUCCAAUAACCAUAAAAUAAAAUAAAUUAUCCAUUGAUAUCGUCUGUUGCUAUAUUGUAUUUGUCUAAAAUUUCCAUCCUGUUUGAUGAAAUUAAAGGAAAAUGUUUCAUUACUUUGUAAUGAAACAUCUAAUGUGUAUAAAAACUAAGGAGUGUCUGCAUAGGGUGAAAAGGAAAGGCUGUUUUCCAAGUCUAACUCUAACUAAAUAAAGUUGAGCCCAUGUUUGAAUAGUUGUAUACUAUAGCCCAACCCAUCAGAGUAUGCGUGUAUUAUGUUUUACCUAGCAACUUUGUAUGGAUCCUCAUUCCUGGACUUUGGGACGAGCUUUAUAGGACCCAUUUCAUUGAGUCUCACAAAGGUUCGGAUUGGAUUUAGGAGAUUCAUCAAAAUACCUCAGGCUUUCAGAUAAUCCGGGCUGUUAAUUCUUGACCGUCCCAAUCACAAUCGUCUCGUGGCCAAUCUCUCAAGGGUAGCUUAACCAUGGCUGGAGGAGGAGCAGGUAUUCUGUGGGCAAUCGUCUGGUUCAUCAUUCUCAUCUUCUUUGGUUGGCCCAUCGGUUUCUUUGUAGCCUGGUUGUGGGUAUGCAUCAUGCCGUUUGGUGUGUGUAUUAGCUUCUGCAAAGACAUCAUGGAACUCUUACAAAAACUGGUAAUGCUACCUCAAACCUGUGCGGAGGGGAUGGUUGGCCAGAAACCAGUGUGCGGUUGAAACUAUAUGUCAUCAUCCGAGAUGCGCUCAUGAGAGUCAUAGUAUGCAAAAAGACUUUGGAAUUCAACAUCGUCCAGGCUUUCACCCUAGUUGCAGCCAUUUGAUUUGCCCUCAAGAUUCCUUCGGCAAAUUACUCCAAUGCCGAUAAUUUUGUUUUGAUAUUAAUAUUUUUACAAUUGUAGUCAUUUUGAUUAUAUUGAUUAAUUGUAAUGAAUAAUAAUUCAUGAAAAUGCUGAUUUAGUUGGGGGAGUGAAUAGUUUAAUGUCCUCAUUUUCCUCACACAUUCCCUAGAGAAUGUUAUACUGUAAUCAACUAUUGGCACUUAAAAAUAUCAUCUAAAGAGCCUUAAAACGACUUAAAGCUCUGAAGAGGGUCUUUAAAAUCCUUACUGAUUCACCGAUGAAACUUUUAAUGGAAUUUUUAAAUAUUAAGAAUUCUUUACAGAACCAUUAAUUUGUUUUUUGAAGGUUGUAUCUGUUGUAUGCAUAUAUUCCUGCUGAUAUAAUAUUGUAUUCAUUCCCGUCACAUGAUACUUCUCAAAUCUAUUUGUAUUUUUUAAACACCAGAGCCGGUCCAUUGCUUAUUAUAUUUCCUGUCUGAAUAUGUUUUCCUGUUUUCAAUCAUAAAUUCAUAAUGAACUUUAUCGUCAUAUCAGUGCGUGGAUCAUAAUUAAUUGAUUUUCUAGAUGUCAUAAAGUAAAUUUAUUCUCAUUAAUAUUCGUAAUGAAAAUGUGAGGAAAAUCAGACAGUGCACAUAUUUAUGUACACUGUUAUUAUACUUAGUAUAUAAGAUCAUUAUUGACAUCAAAAUGGUCUGCCUUCUUUUAUAUAGUCUUACCUCAUUUUGUAAAUUUUUGAUAAUUAUGUUUGUUUCCAUCUCAUAUAGUUCGCCUAAGUUAUAUUAUGUUGUAUAGUAUACAUAAUAAGUUUUUAUUCGUGAUUUCAUGUAUAGAUAUCAUUGUAGGUAUACAGUACACGUGGUUCAUACCAAAUAUUUUGUUUUGGGGGUCUAUUUCAAAGUCAAUAAUAUGACUAGAAAAAGAGAAUGACAAAAAACAAAAGCUAAAAGAUGAAUGCUUAAAUAUAUAGCCUACAGAUACAUUUCACUGCUUUUAUAUAGGCCCUAUUUUAGUUCAGGUAUUUUCAUUUUCUUUAAUUUCUUUCACAUCAAACGGGUGAAUUUUAGGGUCUCACACUGGUAUCAGGUACUAGUAUUGGUUUCAGUCUGUAAUACAACAGUUUGUCGAUAACAUGCAGUUUGUAUCAGUGGAAUCCUAUCGCCAUUGUAGGUUCUGCUGGUAUUUUCAUUAUUAUUAUUACUAUUUUUUUUUUUUGGGGGGGGGGGUUCAGUUGGCAUGGUUGGAACAUUAUUAUGUUCUGAAUUAUACACACAGGUCAAAAUAUGUAUUGUAUUAUACACAUAUAAUCAUGUUCAUAUAUAAACUGACAUGUUACCAUUCCUCUUCACGUGUUUCAGACGUUUUAUCGCCAAUGCCAAUGGAACGUGUUAUCAAUCGCCAGUGGUGAUAGAUCGAACGUUAGUGUAGUCUGUAAGCACAGUCUCAUAUUAGACACUUUAACAAAGUAUGCCGUGUCUAGGAUGGAGACUAGACCCCAAACGCUCUGUCUGUAUAGAAGCAAACACCUUUCAUGGGUGAAUAUGUAGUCUCCUACUUCACACCCUGUAUUAUCGUGCGAAGACCAUGCAAGGGUAUGUACCUGUAUAGACUACGAUGAAUUAAUGGUCACUGAUCACUAUUGGUAACCGUGAGUGGUGAUAGUGUUUGAAACUGACUGCCCUCUAUCGCAUGAAAUAAAUUAUGGUGUACGAUAUGUUUCAAUUUGUUAAUAUCAUGAUUUUGAAUAAAAUGAUUAUUGAUUUGAAAGUUA
Lytechinus pictus (painted urchin) is the source of this 2598-nucleotide long non-coding RNA. RefSeq lists it as uncharacterized. NCBI's taxonomy places the organism in Eukaryota, Metazoa, Echinodermata, Echinoidea, Temnopleuroida, Toxopneustidae. The record is from RefSeq and is a predicted model, not a curated record. The transcript has 2 exons.